CAUGUUUAUUCACAAGAAGUCUCUAAAUAAAGCUCUCAAUAUUUACCCUGUGCAAAUCGGAUGGAUCUAAGAGCAAUUUGCAGAGUACUAAACUGCCAAACAGGCUAUAGUUCUGCGGAGGCAGUACAUUCAAACUUCUCGGGAGCCCCUACCUCCUCACGGGAAGCCUGUUGGCUGCAAAUAGGUCUUCAAAGUGAAAAAACAUGUCGACGGUGUGUACAUGACACAGCCUACCUGUUUUGAAUCCAAGUGUUAAAUCAUAAAGAUUGUUACUCCCUUAUGGAAUGUGGGCUGGGCUGCUUGCUUAGGUGAUUGGAAGAGUGAGAAGGUUAGCAUGACGAUACUGUGGCAUGUUAUCA
Molecule: long non-coding RNA, 359 nt
Filed under: Medicago truncatula (barrel medic)
Lineage: Eukaryota; Viridiplantae; Streptophyta; Magnoliopsida; Fabales; Fabaceae
Description: long non-coding RNA (MTRU_LNC008148)
Source: RNAcentral